UCCUGGUGGAAAUGUUCCAGGAGGAUGUGAUCUGAGUGGGUGACCCACUGGAGGUGAUGUCGGGGUUCCUGAACAAGGGGUUCCUAGGCAUGAUUGGGUGCACAGAUGGCACACACUUGGAAAUUUUAGCACCCCCCUGGAGAGUUUUCACAAUGGAGGGAUGUAAGAAGUGGAGUCCCCCAGGGAUCUGUACUGGGACUGGCCAACUAGAGGAAGUAGUGUGGCAUGCCAGCAGCACACAAUCAGUUUUGAAUGAAGGAAAAGAGGAAAAAGAUGGCAUCGGUGGUGGGCAACUAGAGAUUGGACAGCUCUUUUGGACAGCCAAACAUGACCCUCCAAAACCUGAGGCACCCACCAAAAGCCUGAGAUAUGACAAUCCUACCUGUGAUACUGAGAGGCAAUGGCUGACUGAAGGUCACCUGGUGAUCUUCAUGUCUGAUGCUGAAGACUCCAGUGAUCAUUGGAACCUUUCUGACAUAAUAAUGACACAAUUAUAGCCAUGCAAUCAUGUAUAGACAAUGCCCUGCCUUAGGCACCAUGCUGCCAUAAACAAGUAAUAACAUGGCCUACAAAGACCACAUUGGAUUUUGCAGAACCUUGGCCUGGUGCCUGUCUCUUCUGUCAGUUCACAUCAGCUGAUCUCAACUGCAGAGCUCCAUUUCUGCCUUCCUCUUUUUUUGGCCCCUGUAACUCUUCAGCAACAGAAGUGCAUGCACAAAGAUGGCCCUCAGAAGAUGCAAUUCCAUCUCUGUCUGCAGUUUGGAUUCUGAUCAGUUCACAUCAGUUUUUCGUCGCGGGCCACAAAACAUGUGUAGCUAUUUGUGUGUUGGGGGGACAAAGUCCAGUCCUACCACCACCCUCUGGGGCCCACUGCAAGCUCAGCUGCAGCUCCCCCCACCUUUCACUACAUGAGAUGAGAGAGGUAAUAUUGUAGGGUACCAAUCAGACUGCCAGCAAAAGGAUAGAUCCUGCUCAGUCAAGCACAUCCUGGCCUUGGUUUCCUUUCUGCUCAGCUCUCUUAUCUCAGCUGGAGGAGGACUCUUGCUUCCUCUGGAGUGCCUCUCUGGCCUUCCCUUCCAGCCUUCACAGGAAGGUAGCAAAAAGGAAAAGUUUGAAACAUGGGUGUAGCUAUAAUAAAGGUUUCCAGGAACCCGGGCCCACAGCUCUUGGGGCCCCCCGGCUCCACCCCUCCCUGUUUUCUUCAUUCUCUCCAUCACUCUGAGGGAGAUAAUGAGAGAGAUGUGGACACGGGCCCCCUUUCCCCCAGCUAUGCCUCUGGUUUUGAAAUGUGCCUGCGAGAGAUGACCUCCUCUUUUCUCUAGUACCAACAGAAUUCCAUGCCUCUCCCCCUUUGAACUGUUUUGGCAAGCUCAGAGGGGGCAAAGGAGGGGGAUGGUUGGCAGCUGAGGGGCUAGAUUUUGACUUGAGAUUGCCAGGUCUGGUCACUUCAGUUAAAGCAGGCCUUCUGAGAUACCUUGACAACAAGCACAACCUACUGUAUUGUCUUCCGGUUCAGUGAAUUGACUGUCCUACUCUGAAGUACAGUUGUGUGAACUUCAGACAGACUCCCCUUCCAUCUCUUCCCCUGAACCAGGGGAACCUCUUCUGCAGGCCUCCAUUAAGAGUCCAAGGGAACUGUAUAUAACUAAUAAACCUCAUUAGUCAUAAUCACUUGUGUGGUGCCUGAAUACAGUAAAGGUUCAACAAGCAACCCAUGAGCUCUGCUUCUUGACAAGCCACACCGCAAGGUCUAGUGGCUUGUGUGAAAUGUAUAUUUGCUGCCAUUCUGCCUACUGGAACAAUACUUAAAUUAUUAUUAUUAUUAUUAUUAUUUUAUUUUAAUAAUUUGUACACCGCUUGUCUAAAGUACCCAAAAUGAUAUAGAAAAAAGAUUUUCAAAACACGCUGAAAUAGAUAAUAAAAACUUCAGGCAUCAUCAAGACUAGUUAGUCAAGACUAAGCACCAUUGAAAUCACUGAGGCAACUUAGUCAUAACUAACAUGAGGCCUAUUAAUUUCAAUGCAACUUAGUCAGGACUAACUUAGUCUGGAUGCUACCCACUGUAAGUACAUACAAACAUAUGGGUUUGACAUCUUCCUGUAGCUAACUUCCCUUCUUCCUCAAAAUGUUUCUGGUCUUUUCUAAAAACUCUUUUUUAGGUCGUUCACACAACCGGGUGGCAGUGGGUGGGGAAAAGGCUAGUGAGAUUCAACUCACCUCCCCCGCCCCCCAGAUGAGCGCUGGUCUAUCCAUGCUGUGUGCCACAGUGUGGAGCAUUGGAGGCUGAGGCGAUGUGUCCUGGCCUAUGGAUAUCCCACAAUGCACCUCGUGGCAUGCACAAUGCAGUGGGUGCCAAUCUCUAGGUGCCCAUCUCUGUGUCUUCUGGGGCUUCAUAUAGCCCCAGUGUACACAUGAUCCUGGAGCCUGGGUGAAGGGCUUGCUCGAGCCUUUAACCCUGGCUAAGAGCUGGGUUUCA
This is a long non-coding RNA of Hemicordylus capensis (graceful crag lizard), 2476 nucleotides long. RefSeq lists it as uncharacterized. Lineage: Eukaryota; Metazoa; Chordata; Lepidosauria; Squamata; Cordylidae. The transcript has 3 exons. The record is from RefSeq and is a predicted model, not a curated record.